This 1060-nucleotide long non-coding RNA is filed under the name Coturnix japonica (Japanese quail). RNAcentral describes it as "lncRNA (ENSCJPG00005017864.1)". The record is from RNAcentral. Lineage: Eukaryota; Metazoa; Chordata; Aves; Galliformes; Phasianidae.
GGGGGGGGACACACACAAAGCCAUUGGGAUGAGUGGGGGGGCACAGCACCAUAACCGCCCCCCCCCCAUAUCACAGCACCCCAUAGGGAUGGAGACAAUGGGGAACCCCAUAAGGACAGCCCCAAUGGGGGGACACAAAUGGGACCCCCCCCCAGGAGAAGCACAUUGUGCCAUAGAGACACUCAAAUGAUGCCCCCCCCACCCCAUGGCCAUAAGGGACCCUUUAUCCGCCCCCACCUCCCCCCCCCAACUGACGUCACUGUGCCCUAUAGCGUGGUUGUGGGGUGGGGGGGGGUCGUGGUGCCCCACAAUGGGCCCUUUGUGGAGGGCGGGGGUGGGGGGCACCGUGGGGCAGCGCUGUGGGGUGGAGCUGCCAUGGCCCCAAAUGGACCCUGGGGUGGGGGUGGGCAGAAACAGGCAGCUCCCAGUGCCACCAUACCAGUAUAGCCCAGUAUAUCCCAGUAUGUCCCAGUAUAUCCCAGUAUGUCCCAGUAUAUCCCAGUAUGUCCCAGUAUGUCCCAUUCCAUCCCAUAUAUCCCAUAUAUCUCAUAUACCCCAGUAUAUCCCAGUGCCUCCAUCCCAGUAUAUCCCAGUCCACCCCAGUGCAUCCCAGUGCCACUAUCCCAGUGUAUCCCAGUAUAUCCCAGUAUAUCCCAGCCCAUCCCAGCAUAUCCCAUUGCCACCCUCCCAGCAUAUCCCAGUGCCUCUGUUCCAGUAUAUCCCAUUGCCUCCAUCCCAGUAUAUCCCAGUGUAUCCCAGUACCACCCUCCCAGUAUAUUGCAGUGUAUACCAGUAUAUCUCAUUGCCACCAUCCCAGUAUAUCCCAGUACAUCCCAGUCCAUCCCAGUCCAUCCCAGUCCAUCCCAGUCCAUCCCAGUCCAUCCCAGUCCAUCCCAGUCCAUCCCAGUACAUCCCAGUAUCACCAUCCCAGUAUAUCCCAGUGUAUCCCAGUACCUCCUUCCUAGUGUAUCCCAUUGCCACCACCCCAGUGUAUCCCAGUGUAUCCCAGUACCACUCUCCCAGUAUAUCCUAUUGCCACCACCCCAGUAUAUCCCAGUAU